UUUAGGCUGCUGGAACAAAUUAUUAGGUUGGUGCAAAAGUAAUUGUGCUUUUUUCAAUUAUUAGUUGGUACAAAAGUAGUUGUGCAAUAACUUUUGCACCAACCUAAAUACUAUAG
RNAcentral lists this microRNA precursor (116 nucleotides) under Chlorocebus sabaeus (green monkey). RNAcentral describes it as "miRNA (ENSCSAG00000022512.1)". Lineage: Eukaryota; Metazoa; Chordata; Mammalia; Primates; Cercopithecidae. The record is from RNAcentral.